UGGCGGACGGGUGAGUAACGCGUAAAGAACUUGCCCUUUAGACUGGGAUAACAGAGGGAAACUUCUGAUAAUACUGGAUAAGUUAGUAUAUCGCAUGAUAUGCAAAUGAAAAGCUACGGCACUAAAGGAGAGCUUUGCGUCCUAUUAGCUAGUUGGUAAGGUAAGAGCUUACCAAGGCGAUGAUAGGUAGCCGGCCUGAGAGGGUGGACGGCCACAAGGGGACUGAGAUACGGCCCUUACUCCUACGGGAGGCAGCAGCG
Molecule: ribosomal RNA, 260 nt
Filed under: uncultured Leptotrichia sp.
Lineage: Bacteria; Fusobacteriati; Fusobacteriota; Fusobacteriia; Fusobacteriales; Leptotrichiaceae
Description: partial 16S ribosomal RNA
Rfam family: Bacterial small subunit ribosomal RNA
Source: RNAcentral